RNAcentral lists this ribosomal RNA (917 nucleotides) under uncultured bacterium. RNAcentral describes it as "bacterial SSU rRNA". It matches the Rfam family "Bacterial small subunit ribosomal RNA", at positions 26 to 934 of the family's 1533-position model. The record is from RNAcentral.
AGGAUGAACGCUGGCGGCGUGCCUAAUACAUGCAAGUCGAACGAAGAUGUUCUUGUGUUCGCAUGAGAGCUCUUAGUGGCGGACGGGUGAGUAACGCGUUGGUGACCUGCCCUAAAGAAGGGAACAACCUCGGGAAACUGAGGCUAAUACCCUAUGUGCUUCAAGAGAUUAGAUCCUUUUGAAGUAAAGGUUCUGUGGACGAAGGGCCACAGUGCCGCUUUAGGAGGGGCCUGCGUCCCAUCAGCUAGUUGGUAGGGUAAUGGCCUACCAAGGCGAUGACGGGUAGGGGACCUGAGAGGGUGACCCCCCACACUAGCACUGAAACACGGGCUAGACACCUACGGGUGGCAGCAGUAGGGAAUCUUGCACAAUAGACGAAAGUCUGAUGCAGCAACGCCGCGUGUGCGAUGAAGGCCUUCGGGUUGUAAAGCACUUUUCUGAGGGAUGAGAAAGGACAGUACCUCAGGAAUAAGUCUCGGCUAACUACGUGCCAGCAGCCGCGGUAAUACGUAGGAGGCGAGCGUUAUCCGGAUUUAUUGGGCGUAAAGCGCGUGCAGGUGGUUUGGUAAGUUGGGUAUGAAAUCUCCUGGCUUAACUAGGAGAGGUUGCUCAAAACUACCAGACUAGAGGACGGUAGAGGAAGGUGGAAUUCCCGGUGUAGUAGUGAAAUGCGUAGAUAUCGGGAGGAACACCAGUGGCGAAGGCGGCCUUCUGGGCCGUUCCUGACACUAAGACGCGAAAGCAUGGGUAGCAAACGGGAUUAGAAACCCCGGUAGUCCAUGCCGUAAACGAUGUGGACUUGAUGUCGGCGAUGUAAAAGUUGUCGGUGUCGUAGUUAACGCGAUAAGUCCACCGCCUGGGGAGUACGAUCGCAAGGUUAAAACUCAAGGAAUUGACGGGGGCCCGCACAAGCAGCC